UGGGGAAUAUUGGGCAAUGGGGGAAACCCUGACCCAGCAACGCCGCGUGAGGGAGGAAGGCCUUCGGGUUGUAAACCUCUGUCCUUGGGGACGAAGUAAGUGACGGUACCCAAGGAGGAAGCUCCGGCUAACUACGUGCCAGCAGCCGCGGUAAUACGUAGGGAGCAAGCGUUGUCCGGAAUUACUGGGCGUAAAGGGUGCGUAGGUGGUCUUUUAAGUCAAAUGUGAAAUACCCGGGCUUAACCUGGGGGCUGCAUAUGAUACUGGGAGACUUGAGUGCAGGAGAGGAAAGCGGAAUUCCUAGUGUAGCGGUGAAAUGCGUAGAUAUUAGGAGGAACACCAGUGGCGAAGGCGGCUUUCUGGACUGCAACUGACACUGAGGCACGAAAGCGUGGGGAGCAAACAGG
RNAcentral lists this ribosomal RNA (407 nucleotides) under uncultured bacterium. RNAcentral describes it as "bacterial SSU rRNA". It matches the Rfam family "Bacterial small subunit ribosomal RNA", at positions 355 to 776 of the family's 1533-position model. The record is from RNAcentral.